This 1372-nucleotide ribosomal RNA is filed under the name uncultured bacterium. Its description in RNAcentral is "bacterial SSU rRNA". It matches the Rfam family "Bacterial small subunit ribosomal RNA", at positions 28 to 1381 of the family's 1533-position model. The record is from RNAcentral.
GAUGAACGCUGGCGGCGUGCCUAAUACAUGCAAGUCGAGCGAACGGACGAGAAGCUUGCUUCUCUGAUGUUAGCGGCGGACGGGUGAGUAACACGUGGAUAACCUACCUAUAAGACUGGGAUAACUUCGGGAAACCGUAGCUAAUACCGGAUAAUAUUUUGAACCGCAUGGUUCAAAAGUGAAAGACGGUCUUGCUGUCACUUAUAGAUGGAUCCGCGCUGCAUUAGCUAGUUGGUAAGGUAACGGCUUACCAAGGCAACGAUGCAUAGCCGACCUGAGAGGGUGAUCGGCCACACUGGAACUGAGACACGGUCCAGACUCCUACGGGAGGCAGCAGUAGGGAAUCUUCCGCAAUGGGCGAAAGCCUGACGGAGCAACGCCGCGUGAGUGAUGAAGGUCUUCGGAUCGUAAAACUCUGUUAUUAGGGAAGAACAUAUGUGUAAGUAACUGUGCACAUCUUGACGGUACCUAAUCAGAAAGCCACGGCUAACUACGUGCCAGCAGCCGCGGUAAUACGUAGGUGGCAAGCGUUAUCCGGAAUUAUUGGGCGUAAAGCGCGCGUAGGCGGUUUUUUAAGUCUGAUGUGAAAGCCCACGGCCCAACCGUGGAGGGUCAUUGGAAACUGGAAAACUUGAGUGCAGAAGAGGAAAGUGGAAUUCCAUGUGUAGCGGUGAAAUGCGCAGAGAUAUGGAGGAACACCAGUGGCGAAGGCGACUUUCUGGUCUGUAACUGACGCUGAUGUGCGAAAGCGUGGGGAUCAAACAGGAUUAGAUACCCUGGUAGUCCACGCCGUAAACGAUGAGUGCUAAGUGUUAGGGGGUUUCCGCCCCUUAGUGCUGCAGCUAACGCAUUAAGCACUCCGCCUGGGGAGUACGACCGCAAGGUUGAAACUCAAAGGAAUUGACGGGGACCCGCACAAGCGGUGGAGCAUGUGGUUUAAUUCGAAGCAACGCGAAGAACCUUACCAAAUCUUGACAUCCUUUGACAACUCUAGAGAUAGAGCCUUCCCCUUCGGGGGACAAAGUGACAGGUGGUGCAUGGUUGUCGUCAGCUCGUGUCGUGAGAUGUUGGGUUAAGUCCCGCAACGAGCGCAACCCUUAAGCUUAGUUGCCAUCAUUAAGUUGGGCACUCUAAGUUGACUGCCGGUGACAGACCGGAGGAAGGUGGGGAUGACGUCAAAUCAUCAUGCCCCUUAUGAUUUGGGCUACACACGUGCUACAAUGGACAAUACAAAGGGCAGCGAAACCGCGAGGUCAAGCAAAUCCCAUAAAGUUGUUCUCAGUUCGGAUUGUAGUCUGCAACUCGACUACAUGAAGCUGGAAUCGCUAGUAAUCGUAGAUCAGCAUGCUACGGUGAAUACGUUCCCGGGUCU